ACAGAGCUUUUUGUGACGCAUUAGCAGAAGAAAACAACAAAGUUAACCAAGGACUAAUGUCUAACAUGGGAUCCAACUUGCAGACCCAAAUGCCUGACAUCAUGUCCUCGAUGCCCUUAACCAGCACCAAUGCCAACAGCACAUCUGUUGGGAUAUCAGAUUUCAACAGCUUUGAUCCCAAGAACUCUCUCAAAUCCCUUCCUCAAGAGCUCGUGCCUAUGCCAUUCAAGUCCAUGAACAUGGCAGCUGGAGGAGGCAUGUUUUCG
This 266-nucleotide unclassified non-coding RNA is filed under the name Hevea brasiliensis (rubber tree). The record is from RNAcentral. Lineage: Eukaryota; Viridiplantae; Streptophyta; Magnoliopsida; Malpighiales; Euphorbiaceae.